Molecule: transfer RNA, 92 nt
Filed under: Pseudomonadota bacterium
Lineage: Bacteria; Pseudomonadati; Pseudomonadota
Description: tRNA-Ser
Rfam family: tRNA
About the family: Transfer RNA (tRNA) molecules are approximately 80 nucleotides in length. Their secondary structure includes four short double-helical elements and three loops (D, anti-codon, and T loops).
Source: RNAcentral
GGAGACGUGGGUGAGUGGCUGAAACCAACGGUUUGCUAAACCGUCGUACGGAUACAUCUGUACCGAGGGUUCGAAUCCCUCCGUCUCCGCCA